GAUGAACGCUGGCGGCGUGCCUAAUACAUGCAAGUCGAACGCAUAGCGAAAGGUGCUUGCACCUUUCAAGUGAGUGGCGAACGGGUGAGUAACACGUGGACAACCUGCCUCAAGGCUGGGGAUAACAUUUGGAAGCAGAUGCUAAUACCGAAUAAAACUUAGUGUCGCAUGACACAAAGUUAAAAGGCGCUUCGGCGUCACCUAGAGAUGGAUCCGCGGUGCAUUAGUUAGUUGGUGGGGUAAAGGCCUACCAAGACAAUGAUGCAUAGCCGAGUUGAGAGACUGAUCGGCCACAUUGGGACUGAGACACGGCCCAAACUCCUACGGGAGGCUGCAGUAGGGAAUCUUCCACAAUGGGCGAAAGCCUGAUGGAGCAACGCCGCGUGUGUGAUGAAGGCUUUCGGGUCGUAAAGCACUGUUGUAUGGGAAGAACAGCUAGAAUAGGAAAGGAUUUUAGUUGGACGGUACCAUACCAGAAAGGGACGGCUAAAUACGU
RNAcentral lists this ribosomal RNA (496 nucleotides) under uncultured bacterium. RNAcentral describes it as "partial 16S ribosomal RNA". It matches the Rfam family "Bacterial small subunit ribosomal RNA", at positions 28 to 506 of the family's 1533-position model. The record is from RNAcentral.